UUGAACAAGAUCUUAGAAGGCAAAACAAGAAAGAUAGCUGCAAGGAUGUUCUUUGAGACACUGGUCUUGAAGAAUUAUGGACUGGUUGAUGUACAACAAGAAGAACCUUAUGGUGAUAUUACUUUGAAAAUGACUCCCAAACUCUCCAAGGCUCAAUUUUGAAGUUAUAUAUUUGGUGUUAUUUAACAUGCUUGGUCAUCAAUUUUGAUGUAUAUAGAUGGGUCCAUACAAUAGCAGCAACAGUAGAAUAAAUUUUGUAACCGUACAUAAGAUGCAUAGUUCACAUGUUAUUUGGCUUAAUUAUUGUGAUCAAUAGCUUUGCUUGCAGACAGUAGUUGUAAUUUGUAAAUCCUUUUAUUAGAACUUGUAGCCUUUUAAAUAAUGAAAAUGGGCUCAGUCCCCUUUCCUUUGGUAGUAAA
Vitis riparia (riverbank grape) is the source of this 419-nucleotide long non-coding RNA. RefSeq lists it as uncharacterized. Lineage: Eukaryota; Viridiplantae; Streptophyta; Magnoliopsida; Vitales; Vitaceae. The transcript has 3 exons. The record is from RefSeq and is a predicted model, not a curated record.